Molecule: long non-coding RNA, 1879 nt
Organism: Homo sapiens (human)
Lineage: Eukaryota; Metazoa; Chordata; Mammalia; Primates; Hominidae
Exons: 10
Source: RefSeq, a predicted model, not a curated record
AUAAAGGCUCUACCCUGAUUAAUGGGAUUAUGGAACAGGCUUCAAAGAGCUACCUGGAACUUCCAUCACUUCUACCAUGUGAAGAUAAACAUGAAUCUCUUUUUUCCCUUAUAUUUCUUCUGCCAUGUGAGAACACAGUAUUUGUCUUUUCCACCUUUCCAUGAUGUGAGGACACCCCAAGAAUGUCCCCUAAAGACAGGAAACAAGACAUGGAAUCUUCUGGCACCAUGAUCUUGGACUUCAUAGCCUCCAAAAUGGUUAGCAAGCUGAAGCAAGGGAAGAGAAGAACAGUUUAAUAAUCAAAGAGCGUGAUUAUAAUGAUGCCCCCAUGGAGCUGAAGAAUAGAGAACCUACAGACCCGCAUGUAUUGAAGUUUGAAACCACCUGUGUAAACAGCACACAGAUGAAGGACCACUUUACCCUGUUUCUCACACCAUAGGUGUCAUAGACAUACUAAUGAAGGGGCUGCCUCACACAGAGAGCUAUCUUACAAGGUUCUGAGAAUAAAAUGAGAGCUAGAAGAGACAUGAUUUCUACUUCAAUAUUUUAUUUGGCAACAUCCUACUGAAAAGACAAGCAAAACCACUAUGAUUCAUAAUACUUGCAGAUGAAGGCAAUAUGACACAAGAAGGUUAAACGGCCUCUCAUGACAAUUGAAGGGAACGAGAGCAAAGCCACCUGCAUAUCUUCGGCAGUUAAAGAUCAGAAUCAUAACAACAAUAACAUCUCACAAUUUUCCAAGUGCUCCUUCGGCUCUGUCUUUUUCCUCCCACCUGAGGCCCCCAGGGUGGGUGUAGACAUUCAUCUCUGCUUCAUUUGAUCCACCUCUGCUUGGCCACUGCUGGACUUUUUCUCAGGCAAAGGAGAACCCCCAGGAGAGUGGAUAAACUGGACCAAGGAGCUGCAGAGCUCAAAUAGAACACUUCUCCUUCAAAAUUUAACUCAGCUCUCGGAAACACUGAAAGGAAAUGUGGCCUAUAAUUAUCCAACGUGAGAUGCAAGGAUUGAAUGCUUUGUCCAAGCUUUGCUGUUCUAAGAGAAGUCAAGGUGAAGGGUUUAGUGCCUCUGAAGCUGGGGCAAGAAAACAAUCGGCUUCUCCAACGGUCAGUAAAGAAUACAAGGGCACAGUUAAAACAGAGCCACUGAAGUGAACAACCUUCAUGUGACCAACAGGAGAAACACCCCCUCCAGGAACCUAAGACCAGUUUGCUACAAGAAUACAAUUGGUAUUCCCCACAGUCACCCUCACAAGGGACACUUACAAAGCACACUCCAAUCUCAGCCAUUACUGACUGACAAGAGCCUGCCUGUCUGAAGCCUGCAGGCCCGAGAAGCUUCUUUCUCCCUUCUCUUGGCUAUUAGUCACAGCUGGUAAGGCUCACAGGAACCGAGACUGUUUGAAAACAGUUGGAUCACGAAAACGUUUGAGUCUUUCUGCUGCAAGCAACAAACUUGGCCCAGGCUGCCACAAGGAGAUGGAGUGGGAGUGGGGGUGGCGAUGGGAUGCACCAGGAACGAAGGAAGAAAGGGAAAUUGCUAACCACCUCACUUCAAAAUCUUCUCUGAGGGAGCCCGUGGCUAUUAUCCUGGUUCAAAUGUCACAGAUAGAAGAUAAUAAAAACAAGAAGAAAUAAAAUUCAAGAUCCAUUAGAACACUUCUGGAUUGUCCAUUACAGCAUGUAUUACCCAACAGAAAGAUGAUCACUAAUAGAUGACAAGCUAUUUAAUUUUAUGUUUACUUUUGGAAGGAUGCAGGUACUGUGCAGGGUUUCUACAACACAUCAGCAUUGCUUACACCAGUACUUCAAAUAUGAGUUAUUUAAUCACCCAAGUUAAAUGAAAAUAACCAAAUGAUUAAAUAAAAUCAAGUCAUACUUCA